GUGAGGAAUAUUGCGCAAUGGAGGCAACUCUGACGCAGCCAUGCCGCGUGCAGGAAGAAGGCGCUACGCGUUGUAAACUGCUUUUAACCGGGAAGAAACCCCAGGACGUGUCCUGGGUUGACGGUACCGGAGGAAUAAGCACCGGCUAACUUCGUGCCAGCGGCCGCGGUAAUACGAAGGGUGCAAGCGUUAUCCGGAUUCAUUGGGUUUAAAGGGUGCGUAGGCGGAGCGUUAAGUCAGUGGUGAAAUCCUGCAGCUUAACUGUAGACUUGCCAUUGAUACUGGCGCUCUUGAGUGCGCUUGAAGUGGGCGGAAUGUGCCGUGUAGCGGUGAAAUGCUUAGAUAUGGCACAGAACACCAAUUGCGAAGGCAGCUCACUAAGGCGAUACUGACGCUGAGGCACGAAAGCGUGGGGAUCGAACAGGAUUAGAUACCCGGGUAGUCC
This 445-nucleotide ribosomal RNA is filed under the name uncultured bacterium. Its description in RNAcentral is "partial 16S ribosomal RNA". It matches the Rfam family "Bacterial small subunit ribosomal RNA", at positions 354 to 796 of the family's 1533-position model. The record is from RNAcentral.